AGAGUUUGAUCAUGGCUCAGAUUGAACGCUGGCGGCAGGCCUAACACAUGCAAGUCGAGCGGUAGCACAGAGAGCUUGCUCUCGGGUGACGAGCGGCGGAAGGCCUGUCUCUUAUACACAUCUAGAUGUGUAUAAGAGACAGGAGUAAUGUCUGGGAAACUGCCUGAUGGAGGGGGAUAACUACUGGAAACGGUAGCUAAUACCGCAUAAUGUCGCAAGACCAAAGUGGGGGACCUUCGGGCCUCAUGCCAUCAGAUGUGCCCAGAUGGGAUUAGCUAGUAGGUGGGGUAACGGCUCACCUAGGCGACGAUCCCUAGCUGGUCUGAGAGGAUGACCAGCCACACUGGAACUGAGACACGGUCCAGACUCCUACGGGAGGCAGCAGUGGGGAAUAUUGCACAAUGGGCGCAAGCCUGAUGCAGCCAUGCCGCGUGUGUGAAGAAGGCCUUCGGGUUGUAAAGCACUUUCAGCGGGGAGGAAGGCGAUAAGGUUAAUAACCUUGUCGAUUGACGUUACCCGCAGAAGAAGCACCGGCUAACUCCGUGCCAGCAGCCGCGGUAAUACGGAGGGUGCAAGCGUUAAUCGGAAUUACUGGGCGUAAAGCGCACGCAGGCGGUCUGUCAAGUCGGAUGUGAAAUCCCCGGGCUUAACCUGGGAACUGCAUUCGAAACUGGCAGGCUAGAGUCUUGUAGAGGGGGGUAGAAUUCCAGGUGUAGCGGUGAAAUGCGUAGAGAUCUGGAGGAAUACCGGUGGCGAAGGCGGCCCCCUGGACAAAGACUGACGCUCAGGUGCGAAAGCGUGGGGAGCAAACAGGAUUAGAUACCCUGGUAGUCCACGCCGUAAACGAUGUCGAUUUGGAGGUUGUGCCCUUGAGGCGUGGCUUCCGGAGCUAACGCGUUAAAUCGACCGCCUGGGGAGUACGGCCGCAAGGUUAAAACUCAAAUGAAUUGACGGGGGCCCGCACAAGCGGUGGAGCAUGUGGUUUAAUUCGAUGCAACGCGAAGAACCUUACCUGGUCUUGACAUCCACAGAACUUUCCAGAGAUGGAUUGGUGCCUUCGGGAACUGUGAGACAGGUGCUGCAUGGCUGUCGUCAGCUCGUGUUGUGAAAUGUUGGGUUAAGUCCCGCAACGAGCGCAACCCUUAUCCUUUGUUGCCAGCGGUUCGGCCGGGAACUCAAAGGAGACUGCCAGUGAUAAACUGGAGGAAGGUGGGGAUGACGUCAAGUCAUCAUGGCCCUUACGACCAGGGCUACACACGUGCUACAAUGGCAUAUACAAAGAGAAGCGACCUCGCGAGAGCAAGCGGACCUCAUAAAGUAUGUCGUAGUCCGGAUUGGAGUCUGCAACUCGACUCCAUGAAGUCGGAAUCGCUAGUAAUCGUAGAUCAGAAUGCUACGGUGAAUACGUUCCCGGGCCUUGUACACACCGCCCGUCACACCAUGGGAGUGGGUUGCAAAAGAAGUAGGUAGCUUAACCUUCGGGAGGGCGCUUACCACUUUGUGAUUCAUGACUGGGGUGAAGUCGUAACAAGGUAACCGUAGGGGAACCUGCGGUUGGAUCACCU
Molecule: ribosomal RNA, 1565 nt
Filed under: Klebsiella pneumoniae
Lineage: Bacteria; Pseudomonadati; Pseudomonadota; Gammaproteobacteria; Enterobacterales; Enterobacteriaceae
Description: bacterial SSU rRNA
Rfam family: Bacterial small subunit ribosomal RNA
Source: RNAcentral